Lolium rigidum is the source of this 278-nucleotide long non-coding RNA. RefSeq lists it as uncharacterized. Lineage: Eukaryota; Viridiplantae; Streptophyta; Magnoliopsida; Poales; Poaceae. The record is from RefSeq and is a predicted model, not a curated record. The transcript has 3 exons.
AGCACAUGUCCUUCGCAUGAACUCUUUGUGACCUCUGAUUAUCUGAUGUGAGCGCAUUUCUGAAGGUUUGAUGACACAGAUGCAGAUGCUGAAUCGAACUAAUUUACAUAGACCACAUUAAGGAGAUAGUACAGCGCAUGGGGUGGUAGCCCUUCAAAGAUACAUAUACAGGCAUCGAGGCAACUAUAGCAGAUGUGGACUUCUAGGUUCGUUCUAUAUUUUUGGAGCACAUGUCCAUGGCAGACCUAUGAUUAUCUGAUGUGAGCACAUCUCUGAAG